This 254-nucleotide ribosomal RNA is filed under the name uncultured bacterium. RNAcentral describes it as "partial 16S ribosomal RNA". It matches the Rfam family "Bacterial small subunit ribosomal RNA", at positions 524 to 776 of the family's 1533-position model. The record is from RNAcentral.
UACGUAGGGGGCGAGCGUUGUCCGGAUUCAUUGGGCGUAAAGAGCUCGUAGGCGGCUUGGCAAGUCGGGUGUGAAAACUUCAGGCUCAACCUGGAGCGGCCACUCGAUACUGCCAUGGCUUGAGUCCGGUAGGGGACCACGGAAUUCCUGGUGUAGCGGUGAAAUGCGCAGAUAUCAGGAGGAACACCGGUGGCGAAGGCGGUGGUCUGGGCCGGAACUGACGCUGAGGAGCGAAAGCGUGGGGAGCGAACAGG